Molecule: ribosomal RNA, 1546 nt
Filed under: Gibbsiella quercinecans
Lineage: Bacteria; Pseudomonadati; Pseudomonadota; Gammaproteobacteria; Enterobacterales; Yersiniaceae
Description: 16S ribosomal RNA
Rfam family: Bacterial small subunit ribosomal RNA
Source: RNAcentral
UUUAAUUGAAGAGUUUGAUCAUGGCUCAGAUUGAACGCUGGCGGCAGGCCUAACACAUGCAAGUCGAGCGGCAGCGGGAGGAAGCUUGCUUCCUCGCCGGCGAGCGGCGGACGGGUGAGUAAUGUCUGGGAAACUGCCCGAUGGAGGGGGAUAACUACUGGAAACGGUAGCUAAUACCGCAUAACGUCGCAAGACCAAAGUGGGGGACCUUAGGGCCUCACACCAUCGGAUGUGCCCAGAUGGGAUUAGCUAGUAGGUGGGGUAAUGGCUCACCUAGGCGACGAUCCCUAGCUGGUCUGAGAGGAUGACCAGCCACACUGGAACUGAGACACGGUCCAGACUCCUACGGGAGGCAGCAGUGGGGAAUAUUGCACAAUGGGCGCAAGCCUGAUGCAGCCAUGCCGCGUGUGUGAAGAAGGCCUUCGGGUUGUAAAGCACUUUCAGCGAGGAGGAAGGCGUUGUAGUUAAUAACUGCAGCGAUUGACGUUACUCGCAGAAGAAGCACCGGCUAACUCCGUGCCAGCAGCCGCGGUAAUACGGAGGGUGCAAGCGUUAAUCGGAAUUACUGGGCGUAAAGCGCACGCAGGCGGUCUGUUAAGUCAGAUGUGAAAUCCCCGGGCUUAACCUGGGAACUGCAUUUGAAACUGGCAGGCUAGAGUCUCGUAGAGGGGGGUAGAAUUCCAGGUGUAGCGGUGAAAUGCGUAGAGAUCUGGAGGAAUACCGGUGGCGAAGGCGGCCCCCUGGACGAAGACUGACGCUCAGGUGCGAAAGCGUGGGGAGCAAACAGGAUUAGAUACCCUGGUAGUCCACGCUGUAAACGAUGUCGAUUUGGAGGUUGUGGCCUUGAGCCGUGGCUUCCGGAGCUAACGCGUUAAAUCGACCGCCUGGGGAGUACGGCCGCAAGGUUAAAACUCAAAUGAAUUGACGGGGGCCCGCACAAGCGGUGGAGCAUGUGGUUUAAUUCGAUGCAACGCGAAGAACCUUACCUACUCUUGACAUCCAGAGAACUUUCCAGAGAUGGAUUGGUGCCUUCGGGAACUCUGAGACAGGUGCUGCAUGGCUGUCGUCAGCUCGUGUUGUGAAAUGUUGGGUUAAGUCCCGCAACGAGCGCAACCCUUAUCCUUUGUUGCCAGCGGUUCGGCCGGGAACUCAAAGGAGACUGCCAGUGAUAAACUGGAGGAAGGUGGGGAUGACGUCAAGUCAUCAUGGCCCUUACGAGUAGGGCUACACACGUGCUACAAUGGCAUAUACAAAGAGAAGCGACCUCGCGAGAGCAAGCGGACCUCAUAAAGUAUGUCGUAGUCCGGAUUGGAGUCUGCAACUCGACUCCAUGAAGUCGGAAUCGCUAGUAAUCGUAGAUCAGAAUGCUACGGUGAAUACGUUCCCGGGCCUUGUACACACCGCCCGUCACACCAUGGGAGUGGGUUGCAAAAGAAGUAGGUAGCUUAACCUUCGGGAGGGCGCUUACCACUUUGUGAUUCAUGACUGGGGUGAAGUCGUAACAAGGUAACCGUAGGGGAACCUGCGGUUGGAUCACCUCCUUACC